Molecule: long non-coding RNA, 1946 nt
Filed under: Theobroma cacao (cacao)
Lineage: Eukaryota; Viridiplantae; Streptophyta; Magnoliopsida; Malvales; Malvaceae
Description: long non-coding RNA (TCAC_LNC003249)
Source: RNAcentral
CCGGCCAAAGCAAGAACAAAGGAAGAAAAGAAAGAACAAGAACCCUAGGGUGAAAAUUUAAGAGAAAAUUGAUGGAUUUCAAGUAAUAAAACAAUCAAAGGUAAAAUUUCUUGAUUUUGGCUUAUGAUCUACCUUUCCCAUACAUUCUUUUGCAUUUUUCAUGGUUGAAUCACAUGAUUUCCUGAUGGGUAUCUUGCUGGCUGAACACAUAGAGAGAGGUUUUGAUGCUUGAUUUAGUUAGAUUUCAAUGUAUUUUAGUGGUUUUAGUUGAUUGGUGAUGUGUAGCAUGAAAAUCAAGCAAGAAAAAUUCAUGUUCUUCCAUCACCCAUCAUUGGCCGAAUUCUCCAUGUGGAAUAUUAAGGAUGAUUUUGAUUUUAUUUCAAGUGAUUCGGUUAGGAAUUAGUGAUUUAUGGUGUGAGAAUCAAGUAGGAAAAAUUAUAGUGUUGAUGCACCCACCAAGGCCGAAUUUUCCAAAAGAAAAUGUGAGGAUGAUUUUGUCAUAUUUCAAGUCAUUUAAUUUGUGUUUGAUGAUUUAGAGAAUUGGAAGAAAAAUGGAAUUAUUUGGAGUUAAAUUGGACAUAUUGGCCAAUUAAUCGAGUGAUAGAUCGAAUUAGGCCAAUAUCGUUUUAUUUAGGUGCACAAUUGAAUUUGUGUAGAACACUGUGUUUAGACGAUAAUCCGAACAAUUUACAUCCCAUUUCAUGCAUUAGUAUAAAGCCUGAAUUGGUUUUAUAACAAUUUAGCACAAAUGUAGUAAAUGGCUUAUUGUGUAUUAUGUCUAGGUGGUGAGCAUUUUGGCAAAAGUAAAGAGAUAGUACCCGAGGAUCAAGAAUCGGAGUACUCAAAAUUCGACUCCCAAAAUAGUGAGUAACCUUACUAUCGUUUUAAUUAUCUAAAGUGGUUUUUAUCUGAUUUUGUGAUUUUAUGAAAAAUGUGUUUAAAUAGUAAAUCUUUAUGUUUUAUAAACAAAAUGUGUUUAAAUGGAAUGAUUUUAUAAAUUGUCUUGAAAUUGAAUGAUGCCUUCGAAAAUAGAGCAAUUGGAGACCAUUUGAUGUAUUGUGAAUUUAUGGUUCUAAUUGAUUGGCUUAUGGCAAUAUUGGCAUGAAUGGCUGAAUUGGUAUUUGUGUUGAAAAUGUAUAAACUGUUGUUUGCCUUGAUAGGCUGGAUAAUGAUAAAAUUGUCAUGUCAUGCUAUUUAAUUUUAUUGAAUUUGUGGGUUAUUGAUUAGUCACUGCAGUGGACAGGUUCCGCGGACUAGCUUAUUAGAGGGGACACGGUAACCUUAUUAUAUUCAUACCUCAGUAUGAGAGGCGAGGUUGGAUAACUCUUGAGGUUCACACUUUAGAGUUCACUUCAUGCCAAACCACCACGUGAGGGUGAACUCAGCCAACGCCAAGGAACGACUAUGUUUUCAAAAUAAAAACAUGAUUUUUGCGUACAUAACUUUUUAUUAGCCUUGGCGGACUCGGUUGGGAUAACCUUCGGCCAAGGUAUCCCUGAUAACUGAGUAUGAGAAUGAUUUUGGCAUGAGCCAAAGUUUUAAGAAAUUCAUAAGCCAUGUUGAUUACUCGAUUUAUAUGAAUUGAUUUUAUUUGGUUGAAAUGAGUUGAAAGGUGAUGAAUUAUAGUAUGUUAAACUAUUUUAUUUGUCUCCAUUUACUCAACUUUAGAUAUUUUAAAUGAUAUUUGUUUACUCACUGGGAUUAUAUAAUCUCACCACCCUCCUUUCCACCCAUUUCAGGCUCAAGAUAGUCGGUAAAUAGCUCACUUUGUUGAAGGCUACAGUUGGACUUACAUCCUAAAAAAUUGUAGGUUUAUUGCUUUUAAUACUUUUGGUCGUUCGUGGGCCCAUAUGUCAUUGUAAAUUAAAUUUUAUACUUUGGUUAUCUGUAUUACAGUAUGUAUGAAUUUAUUUAACUUUUACGCUACAAAAAUUAUUUAUCGGGAA